AGAGUUUGAUCCUGGCUCAGGAUGAACGCUGGCGGCGUGCUUAACACAUGCAAGUCGAACGGGGCUAUCUGAAAAGAGACUUCGGUCAAUGGAAGGAUAGCCUAGUGGCGGACGGGUGAGUAACGCGUGAGUAACCUGCCUAGGAGUGGGGAAUAACAGUCCGAAAGGAUUGCUAAUACCGCAUAAUGCAGUUGGGUCGCAUGGCCCUGACUGCCAAAGAUUUAUCGCUCUUAGAUGGACUCGCGUCUGAUUAGCUAGUUGGCGGGGUAAUGGCCCACCAAGGCGACGAUCAGUAGCCGGACUGAGAGGUUGGCCGGCCACAUUGGGACUGAGAUACGGCCCAGACUCCUACGGGAGGCAGCAGUGGGGAAUAUUGGGCAAUGGGCGAAAGCCUGACCCAGCAACGCCGCGUGAAGGAAGAAGGCUUUCGGGUUGUAAACUUCUUUUAAGAGGGACGAAAAAAAUGACGGUACCUCUUGAAUAAGCCACGGCUAACUACGUGCCAGCAGCCGCGGUAAUAC
This 521-nucleotide ribosomal RNA is filed under the name uncultured bacterium. Its description in RNAcentral is "bacterial SSU rRNA". It matches the Rfam family "Bacterial small subunit ribosomal RNA", at positions 8 to 526 of the family's 1533-position model. The record is from RNAcentral.